RNAcentral lists this ribosomal RNA (250 nucleotides) under uncultured bacterium. RNAcentral describes it as "partial 16S ribosomal RNA". It matches the Rfam family "Bacterial small subunit ribosomal RNA", at positions 524 to 773 of the family's 1533-position model. The record is from RNAcentral.
UACGUAAGGGGCGAGCGUUGCUCGGAAUUACUGGGCGUAAAGGGCUUGUAGGCGGCCUUACAAGUCGAAUGUGAAAAACCGGGGCUCAACCCCGGCGCCGCAUUCGAAACUGUGAGGCUUGAGUCUGGUGGAUGGUAGUGGAACACCCGGUGUAGCGGUGAAAUGCGUAGAUAUCGGGUAGAACACCGAAGGCUAAAGCAGCUAUCAAUGCCAAGACUGACGCUGAGGAGCGAAAGUAUGGGGAUCAAAC